Molecule: long non-coding RNA, 3219 nt
Filed under: Nicotiana benthamiana
Lineage: Eukaryota; Viridiplantae; Streptophyta; Magnoliopsida; Solanales; Solanaceae
Description: long non-coding RNA (NBEN_LNC012094)
Source: RNAcentral
GGAUGUCCUAUAUGAUAUUUACUUUUGCUUUUUAAUAUGACAUUGAUACUUCUAGAGUAUUUUUUGAAAAAAAACUUAAAGGGUAUAAAAGGUUCAUUAAUAUGAUAUUGAUUAGCAGAAACUAAAAGGAGGCUCACCAAAAUCUCUCCAAAUUCCUGCAUCAUACAACAAAUAUUUUCUAAUUGAGUGAUCUAAAAUAGGAUAAAAUCAUCUGCAUACCGACCUUCAUUUGAAUGUGAGGAUCUUUACAGCUGUCCCCACAAAAGUGCAUGCUUUGUUAUCUGGAGAAGUGAUUUGGCAAUAAAAAUGCACAAAGAGCAUAUGUUUGGGAAAUUAUCUGGAGAAGUAUUUGGCAAUAAAAAUGCACAAAGAGCAUAUGUUUGGGAACUUAAGCUGAUUCUAAUUUCCACGGAAACAACCGAACAUCAAGAAAGAUAUACCUGAUGUUGCAUAUAAAAGGACUGUUAUUCUGUUAUCCUACAUGGUUUUACACUGCCUAAAUUAACAAUUUUAAUAUGUCCAUCUGCAGCACGUAGCAAGUUUUCUGGAAGCCAUAAAUAUAAACUCAGACUUUCCUAAUAUAUUUCAUUGACAAAGGUGUCCAGGUAAUAAAAGCACCUUAAUAUCUCAAUGAAUCAUUCCCAUACUGUGUAUGUAUUCAAGAGCAUGUGCAACUUCAGCUGCAUAAAGACGCACGAACCAGCAGAAUCGGAACCUUUCUCAAUUAGUAGAUCACCAGUAUUAGAUGCAGUACUCUAAAAAACAUAGUGAUUCAUGUUGCACCCUUGAUGCAAAACAUGACCCAAUAUUGCACAGAACCUAAGAGCUAAUAUUUUUUUGUAGUCUCACGUAUUAUUGAUCAAAGACAUCCAGUGAAUUGACAGACUUUAAAAUAUUCCUUUCUAAUAAAAAAUCAAACAUGUUAUUGUCAUAAAAAUCUAAUCAGAUACAUAAGUAAAGCAGAGAUAAGUAAUCAUGUACCUGAUGAAAUUGCAGAAACACAUUUGCAAUCUAAUGACACAGCAAAUAGAAACAUGAUAUCAAUAGCAUAUAUAACUUAAGGAUUUGGUGCUUUUCAAUAAAUGAAUAUGCACCUUCAUAAACCAAAAACCUUUGGGCAUUUUUAGUGAAUUAGAAAUUAACAUAAAUAUCUGGCAUAAAAAGAUAACUCAACACAACAUACAUGAUGUUAUAUGCAGAAUGAGUUGGCAACCAAGGCUAACAAAGCAGGUGGCAAACUUGAAUUUUUACACUUAGCCAGUGCUAUAACUUUGAAUCAAGUAGUAAACUGAGAAUGGUAGAUAACCGUUGAUAGUUUGUCUAAGAUGCUAGUUUGCUUAUACUAAAGUUGGGGCCUUAUGUCCAACUUAAGGGGUUUUGCUUCUUUACUUGUACAUAUAUUUUCCCUGAUAAUAAAACUUUCUUAAUUACCAAAAAAGAAACAAUAACUCAACCUUAGGCCUAAUGGCUUCCUUACUCAAAAUUUCAGUUUACUCUAGAAUGGCCUGAAAUCGGCAUAUAUUAACUUGAAACAGUAGGCCCAAUUUAAAAGUCGGUAAAUGGCAUAAAACAGAAAAUACCAUCAACAAUGUACUGGUAGAUGCAACAAAGAAUAUUUGAAAUUUAUAUAUCAGCAGUCCUUUAUUUUUCCCCUGCUAAUCAAUCCAAUCACACUGUUUCACUAGUAAUGUUUCGUCUCCACAAACUAAUGUUAUAGGCUAGAAUGGUGGAUCACAAGAUAACUUUCCCAUUACCAUUUGCGAAUUAAAAGGUUUCACCAACCAGGCAUUAGUUGUUAAAUCAGGCUUUUAGCUCAUGAUGCAUCUAAAGUGCAGUAACCUUAGAAGCACUACAAAAUAGACAGAGAUCUCUACUAAAUUGGAUCAUAAAAUGCUUUAGUUUGAUGAAUUUGAGAGCAAAUAAUUGAAGAUUUUACUGUAGAUAUAAAUGAAAAAGAAGUAGAAACAAUACUUGAUAAGACAUGCUUGACAUGUUAUUGAUCAAUCAAUAACUGGUGGAAAAAUGAAGCUUAAAGUAACAAUUUGUCAUGUAAGCUACUUGCUUCUAGGUCAAAGCAUACAGAGAUGCCAAAUGACAUUCAAUGUAAUAAUUUUCCCGGGUAUAAUCACCCUACAUAUUGCCCGUACCAAUGAACAACACAACAGAAAAAUACUCCUAACAAUCGGUUAUAAUCACCCUACAUAUUGCCCGUACCAAUGAACAACACAACAGAAAAAUACUCCUAACAAAUAGAUUUUUUUGUUUACUGUGAACUAUUUUUACAUAAAACAUACAAUUAGAACGUAAGGAAAAUCAUAUUUGGUGAAAAAAAUGACAAAUGCAUGUUCAAGUCAAAGAAAACCCACUUUAAAUAUCAAAGUCUUAAGUUUUUCUUAAAAUGAAAAACGACACUUUAUUCUUCCUACUACAACUGGAGUUAGUUUAAUCACGAAUUUUUUUAUGAACUUCACCAGUUACCGGUAAACUCUCAAUUAACAUAAACUCAGACUUUCCUAAUAUAUUUCAUUGACAAAGGUGUCCAGGUAAUAAAAGCACCUUAAUAUCUCAAUGAAUCAUUCCCAUACUGUGUAUGUAUUCAAGAGCAUGUGCAACUUCAGCUGCAUAAAGAGAAAAAGUCUAUUGACAUUGGGACCCGAUAGGAGUGACUAAAUUAUAUCCACCACUUCUAGCUCUGAGUCAUUUUAUGGCACGGACUUGACUUUACUUGAACAGAACCAAAAUUCACCAUGCGACUAAAAAUAUUAGUUAAUGACAAGGACCACUAUCCUUAGAAGCCAUUUCACCCAAACAUUGCUAACAACAAAAAUAAAUAUUUAUUCUGAUACAUGCACUGACUAUCUUUUCCGAAAAAAUCGAAGCAAAAGAGAUACCAAUUAAAUGUUGACCUGCAUGUAAGAAAUUCAACAAAAAAUCCAAAUUAUGAAGAAAACCAAAUCAGAUCUAUCAAAAUCCAAUCCGAUCACCAGGAAAUGGGUGCAACAAAGAAUGGAAGAGAAUGAAGUAAAAUUCACCAAGUCGCAAGUAUAGCAGUGUAAGAUCCGACGUCAUAAAAAACCACAUACCCAUCAACAAAAGAAUUUCACAAAUUGAAAGAUCGAAGAACAGAGAAAAACUUAGAAGAAAGUUGAGAUACUCACAGACAGAGAUGGGUCUUUGAAGCAGCGAACGAGGGAAAAGUUGUCAACACUGAAGUUGAGC